Molecule: ribosomal RNA, 477 nt
Filed under: uncultured anaerobic ammonium-oxidizing bacterium
Lineage: Bacteria
Description: bacterial SSU rRNA
Rfam family: Bacterial small subunit ribosomal RNA
Source: RNAcentral
UUCGCAAUGCCCGAAAGGGUGACGAAGCGACGCCGCGUGAGCGAAGAAGGCCCUAGGGUUGUAAAGCUCUGUCGGGGGUUAUGAAAUGUAGAUCGGUUAAUACCCGGUUUAUUUGACAAAGGCCCCAAAGGAAGCCACGGCUAACUCCGUGCCAGCAGCCGCGGUAAUACAGAGGUGGCGAGCGUUGUUCGGUAUUAUUGGGCGUAAGGAGCACGUAGGUGGUUUUGUAAGUCAGGUGUGAAAGCCUUCUGCUCAAAGGAAGAACGGCAUCUGAAACUGCAGAUCUUGAGUGUAGGAGGGGAGAGUGGAACUUCUGGUGGAGCGGUGAAAUGCGUAGAUAUCAGAAGGUACACCGGCGGCGAAGGCGACUCUCUGGCCCGUAACUGACGCUGAGUGUGCGAAAGCUAGGGGAGCAAACGGGAUUAGAUACCCCGGUAGUCCUAACUGUAAACGAUGGGCACUAAGUAGAGGGGUUUU